This 440-nucleotide ribosomal RNA is filed under the name uncultured Janthinobacterium sp. RNAcentral describes it as "bacterial SSU rRNA". It matches the Rfam family "Bacterial small subunit ribosomal RNA", at positions 358 to 790 of the family's 1533-position model. The record is from RNAcentral. Lineage: Bacteria; Pseudomonadati; Pseudomonadota; Betaproteobacteria; Burkholderiales; Oxalobacteraceae.
GGAAUUUUGGACAAUGGGCGAAAGCCUGAUCCAGCAAUGCCGCGUGAGUGAAGAAGGCCUUCGGGUUGUAAAGCUCUUUUGUCAGGGAAGAAACGGUGAGAGCUAAUAUCUUUUGCUAAUGACGGUACCUGAAGAAUAAGCACCGGCUAACUACGUGCCAGCAGCCGCGGUAAUACGUAGGGUGCAAGCGUUAAUCGGAAUUACUGGGCGUAAAGCGUGCGCAGGCGGUUUUGUAAGUCUGAUGUGAAAUCCCCGGGCUCAACCUGGGAAUUGCAUUGGAGACUGCAAGGCUAGAAUCUGGCAGAGGGGGGUAGAAUUCCACGUGUAGCAGUGAAAUGCGUAGAUAUGUGGAGGAACACCGAUGGCGAAGGCAGCCCCCUGGGUCAAGAUUGACGCUCAUGCACGAAAGCGUGGGGAGCAAACAGGAUUAGAUACCCUGG